RNAcentral lists this unclassified non-coding RNA (178 nucleotides) under uncultured fungus. Its description in RNAcentral is "sequence contains ITS1". The record is from RNAcentral. Lineage: Eukaryota; Fungi.
UUGAUUGAUUUCCUUUAAACUCCGACGCGAAAACGCAGGGUUUGUGUGGUCCGUUGGGGGCCCCGGCGCGGGGUCCGGGUCGCCCCCAAGGCAACAGAGUUGGUCACUUCAAAGGGUUGGAGGUCGGGCGCGAGGCCCUCGCUCGGUAAUGAUCCCUCCGCAGGUUCACCUACGGAGA